Molecule: non-coding RNA, 264 nt
Organism: Vicia faba (fava bean)
Lineage: Eukaryota; Viridiplantae; Streptophyta; Magnoliopsida; Fabales; Fabaceae
Source: the annotation of a GenBank genome assembly
AUGGAAAAUCGCGGCGCCGCCGCUCUUCUCGUACCUUCCCGAUAUCCUUUCUUCAAAUCGCGGCUCGGUUUCAUCUCCGCCGCGUUCGUUCACAACCUCACAUCUCCGCCCUCAUCUUCUUCGACUCAUCUUCUGAGAAACUGUUUGGGGAUUGUGCAAAUAGAAAACCAGAGAGGAGGUUCCAAUAGCUCGGGUCAGGAUCACGAGUUAGUUUAUGAUAACAGUUUCAGUAGUGUUUUGGCAAGUGUAAUUGGCAUGGUAUAG